GGAGAGGUGCUGGAGUGGCCGAACAGGGCAGACUGCUAAUCUGUUGUAGGGGUUUUCCUCUACCGAGGGUUCGAAUCCCUCCCUCUCCGCCA
RNAcentral lists this transfer RNA (92 nucleotides) under Halieaceae bacterium. RNAcentral describes it as "tRNA-Ser". It matches the Rfam family "tRNA". Rfam says of the family: Transfer RNA (tRNA) molecules are approximately 80 nucleotides in length. RNAcentral also lists the same sequence under 1 other name. The record is from RNAcentral. Lineage: Bacteria; Pseudomonadati; Pseudomonadota; Gammaproteobacteria; Cellvibrionales; Halieaceae.